This 166-nucleotide long non-coding RNA is filed under the name Ictidomys tridecemlineatus (thirteen-lined ground squirrel). RNAcentral describes it as "lncRNA (ENSSTOG00000029704.1)". The record is from RNAcentral. Lineage: Eukaryota; Metazoa; Chordata; Mammalia; Rodentia; Sciuridae.
AUUUGAGUCUUGGGUGCUUGUGACUUUACAAAGGAUUCCAUGGUGACUCAGUGGCUGAUGAGGGACCAGAUCUCUGAAAUCCAUGCACUUGCACUGGGAAGCCUCAAGUUUCCAGGCCAUCACUUGCAUUAACAUGAAGAUGAAUACCUUCUUCCCAGUUACUGGC